This 690-nucleotide long non-coding RNA is filed under the name Mytilus galloprovincialis (Mediterranean mussel). Lineage: Eukaryota; Metazoa; Mollusca; Bivalvia; Mytilida; Mytilidae. The record is from RNAcentral.
GUUGCUUCGGUGUUAAAAGACACCUGUUUAUAUGAUUUAAACGUGUGCUUUUACACUGGUUUCUGACAGUGUAUUUAGGAGUGGUUUGCUAGGGUUUUAGGACAUCUGUUUUAACUUGUGCUUCUUGAAAAAAAAAUACAAUGCGUUCCUUUAAAGGAUUGGGUUUGUCAUAUGCUUAGACACCUGUUUCUGAUAAAACGUAUAUAGGAAGGGGUUCACACAGGUGUCGGGACAUCUGUUUAUGUAGCUAAUGCUUUUAAGUGUAAAUCUAUAAGGAGUGACAGUUAUUCAAAAUAGGGUGUGAAGGUUCGCAUUGCAUCAGUGUAUUAUUAGAGUGUUUAAAAGUGAACAUUUAUAAAGUGCUUACACUUUCACCUCAAAAUAUUUAUAACCCCUCUUAUUUUUAAAAAGAAAAAAACUUUGACCCCAAUAUUUUAUAACCCCCUCAUAUUUAUGGCCCCAUUUGAAAGGGGGUGUUAUAAUUAUGCACCCACACCCAAGGGGCUUUGGGUGUUCAGUGAUACUACACUACUUGGAACAUUUCUAUGAAUGUAUUAUAUGGGUUAUAUGCCUUUACUCCAAGACAGAGCAAAACAAUUAUAUUAAAUUUGAAUUUUUCAUUUUUUUGGCAUUUAGUUUUAAUUGUUCGAAAUACUUGCAACCGGACUUUAACAAACAUCUAUUUUCUUG